This 858-nucleotide ribosomal RNA is filed under the name Triticum aestivum (bread wheat). RNAcentral describes it as "partial small subunit ribosomal RNA". Lineage: Eukaryota; Viridiplantae; Streptophyta; Magnoliopsida; Poales; Poaceae. The record is from RNAcentral.
AUGGAUGUAGAAGGAGCAGCAGGCAGGGGUCCCGUCUUCCCGGUGCCGCAGCGGCGGGCCCCGGCGACGGCGCUGCUGUUCCCGCCGCCACAGACACCAUUCACACCUUACUACUACUCGUCGUCUUCAUCGUCUUCUCCGGCGACGCCGUCCCGCCUGACGCACCACGUGACGCUGAGCCUCACCAGCCUGCCCAUCCUGGUGCUCACCGUGCUCGGCAUCCUCACCACCUCCGCGCUGCUCCUCACCUACUACGUCUUCGUCAUCCGCUGCUGCCUCACCUGGCACGCCACCACCUCCGACCACGACUCCGGCGCGCCCAGAAGCCUCGUCAUCUCCCUCACCCGCCGCCGCCAUCGCCGCAACAACACCGCCUCCGACCACGAGCUCCCCGUGGUGCACGGGCCCGCGCCCGACGAGCCACGCGCCGGGCUGGGAGAGCCGGCCAUCCGGGCGCUGCCGGCGUUCAGGUACAGCAAAGCCGCCAAGGACGACGCGAGCGAGUGCGCCGUGUGCCUCGGCGAGUUCCAGGAGGGGGAAAGGGUGAGGCUCCUGCCGGGCUGCCUCCAUGUCUUCCACGCCGAGUGCAUCGACACUUGGCUCCACGACUGCGCCAACUGCCCGCUCUGCCGGGCAGCCAUCACCGGCACCACCGGCAAACAAGCUCCGUUGGUAAUGGACCGGCCGCCGAGAAGCGAGGAGGUGGUCAUCCAGGUGCAGGCUGCCGGCACAGGAGAAGAAGAAGACACAGUGACACGGCAGCAAGAAGACGGCGCGGCGGCCUCGAAGAGCAGCGCUCACUUCCAUGGAGAAUGCAGCGGCGGCAGCAGCAAUGAAGAAGCACAUUGUAGUAGGUAG